UACGUAGGGUGCAAGCGUUAAUCGGAAUUACUGGGCGUAAAGAGCUCGUAGGCGGCUUGUCACGUCGAUUGUGAAAGCCCGAGGCUUAACCUCGGGUCUGCAGUCGAUACGGGCUAGCUAGAGUGUGGUAGGGGAGAUCGGAAUUCCUGGUGUAGCGGUGAAAUGCGCAGAUAUCAGGAGGAACACCGGUGGCGAAGGCGGGUCUCUGGGCCGAUACUGACGCUGAGGUGCGAAAGCGUGGGGAGCAAACAGG
This 253-nucleotide ribosomal RNA is filed under the name uncultured bacterium. Its description in RNAcentral is "partial 16S ribosomal RNA". It matches the Rfam family "Bacterial small subunit ribosomal RNA", at positions 524 to 776 of the family's 1533-position model. The record is from RNAcentral.